RNAcentral lists this unclassified non-coding RNA (390 nucleotides) under soil metagenome. RNAcentral's name for it is "partial contains 5.8S ribosomal RNA, internal transcribed spacer 2, and large subunit ribosomal RNA". The stretch from base 1 to 122 matches the Rfam family "5.8S ribosomal RNA", at positions 35 to 154 of the family's 154-position model. The record is from RNAcentral.
GAUGAAGAACGCAGCGAAAUGCGAUACUUGGUGUGAAUUGCAGAAUCCCGUGAACCAUCGAGUCUUUGAACGCAAGUUGCGCCCGAAGCCAUUAGGCCGAGGGCACGCCUGCCUGGGCGUCACACGUCGUUGCCCCCCCAUCUACUCCUUCGGGAUUGCGGGGGGCGGAUGAUGGCCUCCCGUGCGCCUCGUCGCGCGGUUGGCCUAAAUGCCAAGUCCUCGGCGACGCACGCCACGACAAUCGGUGGUUGCGAAACCUCGGUUGCCUGUCGUGUGCGGUCGUCGCGCAUCGAGGGCUCGAAAAAAUUGCCGGGCUUCGGCUCGACUUUCAACGCGACCCCAGGUCAGGCGGGGUUACCCGCUGAAUUUAAGCAUAUAAUAAGCGGAGGA